This is a long non-coding RNA of Dioscorea cayenensis subsp. rotundata (Guinea yam), 1226 nucleotides long. RefSeq lists it as uncharacterized. The record is from RefSeq and is a predicted model, not a curated record. NCBI's taxonomy places the organism in Eukaryota, Viridiplantae, Streptophyta, Magnoliopsida, Dioscoreales, Dioscoreaceae. The transcript has 3 exons.
UCACUCACACACACUCUCUCAAGCACUCACUCACACCCGCGAGAUAUGCACCGUCUCUGACCAAGAGCUCGUUAGACCUCGUUCGAAUGAUGUCUCUGACUGAGAGCUCAUCUUCUCUUAUCCUCCCAAUUUCUCUAUCAAUCUCGCGAUAGUAGGGCCAGAGCUCGAGCUCGCUGUUCUCUCUCUCUCUCUCUGAAAACCUCCUCAUCUGCAAAUCUCAUCGCUAUUCAACGCUGGAAUCCAGACUAUUAGAUCUCCUCUCUGAUUGCCUCUCGCCGUUGGAGACCCUUCUAUCAUUCUCUGAUUGAGAAUGAGUACGGAUGUCGAGUCAGCUUGUGGAUCAGCAGCUAAAAAAUUACUAUAUGAUAAUUGGUGUUUGCAAUUUCUCUUUAUUUUAAUCAGUGUGAAACUUUUCAUUGAAUUUGAUAUAUUUUCUUAUAGUCUUAUAAUUUCUUUCUAUUUUAAUCAAUGUGAAACUUAUAGUUUCAUUUGAUAUGUUUUCUUAAAGUAUCAUGGUGGGACCAACUUUGGUCACACUUCAGGUGGCCCAUGUAUUGCUAUAAGUUAUGACUAUGAUGCUCCUCUUGAUGAAAAUGGCAUCAUAAGGCAACCAAAAUGGGGACACCUGAAGGAACUACAUAAAGCUUUAAAGCUUUGUGAACAAGCAUUGGUGGCAACUGAUCCAACAUUUAGUUUUCUUUCUCCAAAUGUGGAGGUAUGACCACCACAUUUAAAUGUUUUGGAGAUUUAAAGUUCUAGAUCCCAUGCCUUAAUUUCUGAAACCAGGCAUAAAAUCAGAUUAUAUAAUUCCUUGAUAUGAGUAUUGUUCUAUUAUAUUUUUAAUGUUUAACCAAGUUCAGAAUGUUAAGGAGCCAAUGAAAUUGAUAGCUUGAAGGUCGUAUAGUUUAAUUGAACAUGAGAGCUUAGAGUAGCUAAAGCUACUAGGUUAUAGUUGAUUUACAGACACAUGUAAAGAAUCUGAUAAUAGGUUGAUUUAUUAGAGAUGGGUGGGGAUCCUACACAGAUAUCUUUUGCAACAAAACAUAUUCGAAGCAUGUGUGUGCAUGUAUCAUAGUUGCACCAUGGCCUAAUACUUCCACUUCUUGUAUUGUCCAAUUUUUCAGUGUAGCUAAAAUGGUAUAAUACUCACUUUUGAUUUAUGUAGUGUUGUCUUCAUGAAUAAUACACAAUUGUUCACUGCUGUGUGGUCAUCAUUUCUUUUUAAA